RNAcentral lists this small nuclear RNA (24 nucleotides) under Arabidopsis thaliana (thale cress). Its description in RNAcentral is "snRNA_08987". The record is from RNAcentral. Lineage: Eukaryota; Viridiplantae; Streptophyta; Magnoliopsida; Brassicales; Brassicaceae.
AUCGGUUAAUUUAUUUUAUUCUGU